This 416-nucleotide long non-coding RNA is filed under the name Ricinus communis (castor bean). RNAcentral describes it as "long non-coding RNA (RCOM_LNC001334)". Lineage: Eukaryota; Viridiplantae; Streptophyta; Magnoliopsida; Malpighiales; Euphorbiaceae. The record is from RNAcentral.
UGUAAUUAUCAUUCAACUCGAAACACUAGAAGCAUUCAACUGAUUAACAUCAAAAACAACUUUCACAUAACUUUAUCACUUCUCUUAACCUCUUAUUUUUAUAUUAUUCCCGAUAAAAUAAUCAAAUUGAUGAAGUAAAUAGUUAAAUAGUGAUGCCAACAGCUGAACCUCCUUGCCGUCAUCGGAUACACCUUCUUCUAGGAGCUGGAAUGAAGGAGAGAAUAUCUUCACUAAAUAGCUCUAAACAGUGAUGCCAACACCUUCUCCCAUACUUGAUUGAGAAUAGUCGACGUCUUUAUAACUCCAUGAUUUGACUUGCCUUGCAAUUUCAUUCAUGAUUGGUCGGCAUCUAUUCAGAAGAUGUGGAUGGGCUCGCAUUAGAAUCACUUGAGGGAGCUAGAGUGGUUGAUUCUCAU